Molecule: long non-coding RNA, 435 nt
Organism: Herpailurus yagouaroundi (jaguarundi)
Lineage: Eukaryota; Metazoa; Chordata; Mammalia; Carnivora; Felidae
Exons: 2
Source: RefSeq, a predicted model, not a curated record
CCAGAUCAGGAGUCACAUGUUCUUCCAGCUGAGCCAGCCAGGCGCCCCAGGCUCUUCUAUCCAGCUCAUCUUUUAACUCAGGCUGAUGGAAACCAAAAGCACCCCUCAAGUGAUAGUGACCACCCUGACAAGACCUCCUGCCAACCCAGGCCAUCCAGACCAAUAUGACCAUAACCCUGGACUGGCGCCUGCACAGAUGGACCAUGGAGUGACCUGCAGAAUGACUGACAACUUCCUUUACCUCACUAUAAUACUGAAACUUCUGCUCAAGGAUGAGCACAAGCCUCAUUUACAUAACACAAUGUGUGAUAUAGGCACGUUUCCUUAAGUUGCAUGCACUGCCUUAUGUUCCCCUUUACAUUCCAUGACAAGGCUUCCCUAUCUAAAUGUUCAUCCCAACCCUAAAUAAAAGGAACCCAUUUACCCUUGGCUCGA